This 24-nucleotide non-coding RNA is filed under the name Mus musculus (house mouse). Lineage: Eukaryota; Metazoa; Chordata; Mammalia; Rodentia; Muridae. RNAcentral also lists the same sequence under 1 other name. The record is from RNAcentral.
UUCAUUGCUUUUGAGCUUGUGGUA